AAUCUGGCCCUUGGGCCCGAGUUGUAAUUUGCAGAGGAUGCUUUUGGUGAGGUGCCUUCCGAGUUCCCUGGAACGGGACGCCUUAGAGGGUGAGAGCCCCGUACGGUUGGCCACCAAGCCUGUGUAAAGCUCCUUCGACGAGUCGAGUAGUUUGGGAAUGCUGCUCAAAAUGGGAGGUAUAUUUCUUCUAAAGCUAAAUACUGGCCAGAGACCGAUAGCGCACAAGUAGAGUGAUCGAAAGAUGAAAAGCACUUUGAAAAGAGGGUUAAAUAGCACGUGAAAUUGUUGAAAGGGAAGGAUUUAUGACCAGACUUUUUCUGGGGGGAUCAUCCGGUGUUCUCACCGGUGCACUUCCCCCAGUGG
This 363-nucleotide ribosomal RNA is filed under the name Arthrinium sp. RNAcentral describes it as "partial large subunit ribosomal RNA". It matches the Rfam family "Eukaryotic large subunit ribosomal RNA", at positions 119 to 494 of the family's 3401-position model. Lineage: Eukaryota; Fungi; Ascomycota; Sordariomycetes; Amphisphaeriales; Apiosporaceae. The record is from RNAcentral.